This 374-nucleotide long non-coding RNA is filed under the name Homo sapiens (human). RNAcentral describes it as "non-protein coding lnc-GVQW3-4:2". The record is from RNAcentral. Lineage: Eukaryota; Metazoa; Chordata; Mammalia; Primates; Hominidae.
CUGGGGUCUGUCUUUGCAGAGGUGCCAGGCCACAUGCCCUGCCCACCUCUACCAGCUAUGCCGCCUCUGAAGUUCCUCCAGCGGCACUGAGGAGGGGCCCUGUGGUCGAGGGUGCAGUUAAACGAGGCCCGACCGGGUAGUUGAGCUCAGCUUGGCUGUACUUGUCUUCCUUGGACCUGCUGGGCACCCCCAGGCCUCUCUUUCCAGAGCCACAGGGGCCACCUGACAUCUCACAGGCUCAUCUACCUUCCAAGACCAGCUCAUCACUUCUGGCACCCCUCUCUAUAGUUGCCUCCCAAAGUCUCCCAUCUUAUACCCACGGCCCCCUGGGCAUCAAGCUGGACAUCUGGGAACAACCUUCAGCACCAAGUCCC